GCCCCCGGACGAUUGUUGCCGAAGGCCAGGCGAGCAUUUCCGAGUGCGCUCGGCUCCUUCCGCCAGCCCCCGCGCCCCUCCCAACGCGCAGGAGCCGAGGUCCCUGGCUUCAGAAUAGUACACUUUUGCUUUCUGAAAAUUCUUGCUGCACCCUGUGAAUUGCUGAGACCUGCUGAUUAUAUAUUUCAAGAACCUCCAAACCCUUCAGAUUUGCCAAGAAACUUACCUUUAUAAAGGCAAGACUUUUCACCUGUUUUGCUCACUGCUGCAUCCCCAGUGCCUAGAACAGCUGCUGAGAGAUGAGGGGAAGGUAAGUUUUGGUUUCCUGGUUUUCUAUACUUGCCACCUAAACAGUAUUCAUUGACACACACCCCUUUUCUGUAUUUUUCUUUAACUUCGUAUUAUGGGAAACUUCAAAUAUAUACAAAGUAGAGAAAAUA
Myotis myotis is the source of this 440-nucleotide long non-coding RNA. RefSeq lists it as uncharacterized. Lineage: Eukaryota; Metazoa; Chordata; Mammalia; Chiroptera; Vespertilionidae. The record is from RefSeq and is a predicted model, not a curated record. The transcript is spliced from 3 exons.